RNAcentral lists this ribosomal RNA (253 nucleotides) under uncultured bacterium. Its description in RNAcentral is "partial 16S ribosomal RNA". It matches the Rfam family "Bacterial small subunit ribosomal RNA", at positions 524 to 776 of the family's 1533-position model. The record is from RNAcentral.
UACGUAGGGUGCAAGCGUUGUCCGGAAUUAUUGGGCGUAAAGAGCUCGUAGGCGGUCUGUUGCGUCGGCUGUGAAAACCCGGGGCUCAACUCCGGGCCUGCAGCCGAUACGGGCAGACUAGAGUUCGGCAGGGGAGACUGGAAUUCCUGGUGUAGCGGUGAAAUGCGCAGAUAUCAGGAGGAACACCGGUGGCGAAGGCGGCCGCCUGGGCCAGUCCUGACGCUGAGCCGCGAAAGCGUGGGGAGCGAUCCGG